Molecule: ribosomal RNA, 870 nt
Filed under: uncultured archaeon
Lineage: Archaea
Description: bacterial SSU rRNA
Rfam family: Archaeal small subunit ribosomal RNA
Source: RNAcentral
UUCCGGUUGAUCCUGCCGGACCUGACUGCUAUCGGAUUGAUACUAAGCCAUGCGAGUCAUUGUAGCAAUACAAGGCAGACGGCUCAGUAACGCGUAGUCAAUCUACCCUAUGGACGGGAAUAACCUCGGGAAACUGAGAAUAAUGCCCGAUAGAACAUUAUGCCUGGAAUGGUUUAUGUUUCAAAUGAUUUAUCGCCAUAGGAUGGGACUGCGGCCUAUCAGUUUGUUGGUGAGGUAAUGGCCCACCAAGACUAUUACAGGUACGGGCUCUGAGAGGAGUAGCCCGGAGAUGGGUACUGAGACACGGACCCAGGCCCUAUGGGGCGCAGCAGGCGAGAAAACUUUGCAAUGUGCGAAAGCACGACAAGGUUAAUCCGAGUGGUUUCUGCUAAAGAAACCUUUUGUCAGUCCUAGAAACACUAACGAAUAAGGGGUGGGCAAGUUCUGGUGUCAGCCGCCGCGGUAAAACCAGCACCUCAAGUGGUCAGGAUGAUUAUCGGGCCUAAAGCAUCCGUAGCUCGUUUUGUAAGUUUUCGGUUAAAUCCAUGCGCUUAACGUAUGGGCUGCCGGGAAUACUGCAUAACUAGGAAGUGGGAGAGGUAGACGGUACUCGGGAGGAAGGGGUAAAAUCCUUUGAUCUCUCGAUGGCCACCUGUGGCGAAGGCGGUCUACCAGAACACGUUCGACGGUGAGGGAUGAAAGCUGGGGGAGCAAACCGGAUUAGAUACCCGGGUAGUCCCAGCUGUAAACUAUGCAAACUCAGUGAUGCAUUGGCUUAUGGCCAAUGCAGUGCUGCAGGGAAGCCGUUAAGUUUGCCGCCUGGGAAGUACGUACGCAAGUAUGAAACUUAAAGGAAUUGGCGGGGGAGCA